Molecule: non-coding RNA, 227 nt
Filed under: Roseburia sp.
Lineage: Bacteria; Bacillati; Bacillota; Clostridia; Lachnospirales; Lachnospiraceae
Description: T-box sequence
Rfam family: T-box leader
About the family: Uncharged tRNA acts as the effector for transcription antitermination of genes in the T-box leader family. T-boxes are found upstream of many aminoacyl-tRNA synthetase genes and some amino acid biosynthetic genes usually in Gram-positive bacteria.
Source: RNAcentral
AGAAAUGCAUAGAAGGUGCAAAGUAGAGCUAUAUUUUCUGCCAGAGAGUGAGGGUCACCGGCUGUAAGCCCUCUAAGUUCAGGUAUAGUGUUGAAUUUCCCACCGGAGCAGCUCUGUUGAAGUAAUCAGUAGGCAGAGACGUAGGAACACGUUACGUUUUUUGUGAGCCAUUUUGUGAGAACACAGAAUGGGAAACAGGGUGGUACCACGAUAUAUUCGUCCCUUAU